Molecule: small RNA, 77 nt
Filed under: Xanthomonas oryzae
Lineage: Bacteria; Pseudomonadati; Pseudomonadota; Gammaproteobacteria; Lysobacterales; Lysobacteraceae
Description: sX9
Rfam family: Xanthomonas sRNA sX9
Source: RNAcentral
AUAUACCACGCGUCCACUGCGGUUCUGAGCGCGCCGUCCGCGCCCAUCUGACAGCUGCUCGCUACGUGUUGUCAGCC